Panthera pardus (leopard) is the source of this 319-nucleotide unclassified non-coding RNA. Its record names the gene 7SK. It matches the Rfam family "7SK RNA". Rfam says of the family: 7SK was discovered as an abundant small nuclear RNA in the mid-70s but a possible function has only recently been suggested. Two independent studies have found that 7SK RNA binds the CDK9/cyclin T complex (known as elongation factor P-TEFb). NCBI's taxonomy places the organism in Eukaryota, Metazoa, Chordata, Mammalia, Carnivora, Felidae. The record is from Ensembl.
GAAUGUGAGCGUGCUCUGGCUACAGUAUCUGUCACUGAUCGAUUGCCAAGGUUGAUCUGGCUGAUCUGGCUGGCUAAGAGGUUGCCCUCUUCCGCCCUCAUCACUUCAUGUGCAUCGCUCCUGAAACUGUGCUCUCAGUGGAAGAGGGUCAUCUCCCCAAUGGGGAAGGACCUUUCUUCCACCAAGGGUUUAUGAGUAGCUGUGGUCCCCUGUUAGAGCCUACAAAUAAGCUCUCAAGGAUGCAUGUGGUCUAAAUGAUUAUUUUAUAAUGUAAAUAUAAUAAUAUAAUAUAAUAUAAUAUAAUAUAAUAUAAUAUAAU